Molecule: long non-coding RNA, 2876 nt
Organism: Equus caballus (horse)
Lineage: Eukaryota; Metazoa; Chordata; Mammalia; Perissodactyla; Equidae
Source: Ensembl
CUCUGUACAGAGGGAGGAAGGGGCCAUAUGUCCUUGAAGCAAAGAAAUGCAAACUAUUCCUGUGACAAAUACAGGGAGGAGGUGGGGGGGGGGGAUUGGGCUGCCCUAAGGUGCCUGGGAGGGUCACCGACGUCUUCCUCCCUUGCGAGGUAAUGGCAGCCAGCGGGGAGCAGGCUCAGCUGUUCCCCGAUGGAAACUGAGGAGCCUGGGGACUCGCCUCUCUAGCCAGCCAUCCCUCUUCUGGAGGUGAGCCCAGGGGGAUUCUCCACUCUACCAGGCUUUUCCUCAGAAAGCAUUUGAAAUUGGCUCUAGCGCACAAAUUCGCAGUGAUCCAGGCACCUGGGGUCGACUCCAGGUGGUGCGCCCAACCGUCUAGCCUGAAAAAGGUGUAAGGCAGGUGUAACUAGAUCUCCACCCCCAGUCCACCCUGCCAAAAAGGAAUUCGAGAAUGUUUGCCCAGACUGCCCAUGCUUCCUGGUGUGUCCUCUGGAUGCCCUGCUGGAGGAAUGAACUCCACCGUAACCCCAUGGCAUGUGAAGCUGACAUUUCACAAUCGAUUCACUGAAGUCUUUGGAGUUCUCCUGCAUGUCUCAGCUGUGCUAAGGGGUAGAGCGUGAAGAUAGAUGGUGAAUUGCACUCAGCAUCCAUUCCAGUUUCUUUCUUCACAAACUGGGGAGGCUGGAAAACCAAAAACUAGAUUUCCUUGCACCUUGAGGGUCCAGGUGUCAAUUACAUUCUGCCAGUUAUAUGCACUCUCCCAAGAUUUGGAAGAGGAGACGAAGCUGAACAUACUGCUCCUGCUGAGGACAGAGCAUGGAAGGGCAGAUGCAUUCCUUGGCGCCUACAUGGAAUUCAGUGGGACAGAAUUACUUUUGCGAGGUCAGCUGGCAAGUUCCCUUGCCUGGACUAACUCACUGAAGGUCUGGACUUUAUUCACAAGCAAAACUACCACAUCCUCUUAUAGAAAAUAUUCGCAUUAUGUUAUUCACUUCACUGUUUGUGUGGUACUUCCUGCAUGUCCUCAGUCAUCACAUCCUGUAGCUCCGACAGGAGCAAGAAGUAAGCCUGAUAUUAUAAUGCUCAUUUUCCCAAUUAAGACACCAACGUUCAGAGAGUACGAUCCAAGGGACCCUGAUGAAUAUCUCGCCAGGGCUCCAAAAUGUCAGACCUUGCAGUGCCUGCAAUUCCAAAUCCAGUUCCUGGAUGAAGCACUGAACUCUCUACAGGUUCUCCUUUUAAAAUCAAAUUCUCUGUGAUGGAGGGGCGUACACUGAGUUCGUAAUACGCCACUGUGAACGGUUCCUGAUCUUGUCCAUGAUAAAAGGGAUGUGGUGGCAGAGAAGCCCUCCAUGCCUACAAGGUGGGGAGUGGGGGAUGAGUUUGAGAAGGCACUUGCCAGGAGAGGAACCAACCAACGCCAGUGUUAUAUUUCUUGGACAUCGUAACGUUUCUAAUGGCCAGCCCUGCUGUCACGCAUCUUUUCAGGAUGGGAGAAGGUCACAGAUCUGCUGUAGGGACAGCCAUCACAGCUGGAGGGGAGAAGGGUGGAUUUGAGAGUGUGAAACUGGCACAGGAGCCAGCCUCCUUCCUUUGCCAGGAAGCUUGGCAGGAUCGGGCCCCCAGAACACCCUGUGUGUGCCGGGCCCUGCCAGGGACCCUGAAGCUAGAAUGGCAACAUUACCAGCCUAGGUAAAGAGACGACAGCUAAGGAGGAUUUAUUUUUUCAGCGGUUUACUGGAUGAUUUCCCCAUGCUCAGACAAGGCUAUCAACAGGGGCAGCCUUGCACGUCUCCAGCACGCCUCACCCUUCCUGCGAACUGCAUUCGAGUGGUGUUUGCUGUCGGCAUUGAUGUCCUGUCCCCUACCAGCGUGGCUGACAAAGAGAACUCACAGGAGACAGCCCAGAGCCAACCAGGAGACGCUAACCCAGGAAGAUGGAACUGCAGAACGCAUCACCUGGUUGAAGCCAGCCGAAACUUCAUUUCUCCCCUUUAUUAAUGUUUUCCAGAGGAGGCACUGGACUCGGGGGUGGCUCACAAAAGAAUUUGAUAGGAAGAUGUGACACCUCAUCUUAAAUUCCUUCACUGUAUUUCUGAAGUUGACGGGCGUGUUGAGGAGUGAGGCUAAUAAAGUCCGCUGUCCCCUCCAAGCGGACUAAUCAGACGUGAAGUCUUGGCAAGAGAUAACCAGGUUAGAGGAGAGCCAAAAUGACAUCACAUCAACUCCAUUUCAGAUCCUGUACACACCAGUGCCUAUCACUGCUCCAGGUGGCUGGCAUCCUCCGCACACAAGAGAAAAUCAGAACACCAAAGGCCAGUCGGAAACUUUUCAAAUUCAGUUCCUUAGGGAUGACAAGGGUGAGUUGGAGCAGAGGCCUGAACAAAAGGAAGACGAAAUCGUCUGUUUCCAACCGCUUGUCUGGUCAACUGUGGGGAUGAUCGGGGCCUGUGAGGUCAUUUUAUAAGUGAUUUCUCACAUUUAAUUAUGUCAGAUUCCUGGCCCGUGGCCGCUUUUCAAGCUGGCAUGAUUUGUCAUCUCUAAUAUGAUAUAAAACAGGGUCCUGUCCUCUGUGAAGCUACCUAAGCUUGUUUUGCUUCUGCAGACACCCCAUCUGUGUGUGAACCCCACCUAAUGAACCCCUGAGCGGUGCUGUCUCUGCAGGAAUUUCCUGCUCCCCUUCUGCCCAUGCCCACCACCUCCAGUCACCCCGGUGUGAGCCCCAGCACAGUGUCUGGCAGAUCGAAGGUGUCCAAUAAAAGGUUUAGUGGAUGAUGUCCCCUGGGAGACACCUUGCUCCAAGGUUGAGGUAAAAAGGCAUCAAACCACACUGAUUCCACCAGCUCCCGAGCCCUCUCACAGAAUGUGAGCAAAUUCUU